Molecule: ribosomal RNA, 253 nt
Filed under: uncultured bacterium
Lineage: Bacteria
Description: partial 16S ribosomal RNA
Rfam family: Bacterial small subunit ribosomal RNA
Source: RNAcentral
UACAGAGGUCUCGAGCGUUAGGCGGAAUCACUGGGCUUAAAGCGUGUGUAGGCGGAUCGUUAAGUACCUUGUGAAAUCCCACGGCUUAACCGUGGAACUGCUUGGUAUACUGGCGGUCUUGAGCCAGCUAGGGGCGACCGGAACAAAUGGUGGAGCGGUGAAAUGCGUAGAUAUCAUUUGGAACGCCAAUGGUGAAAACAGGUCGCUGGGGCUGUGCUGACGCUGAGACACGAAAGCCAGGGGAGCAAACAGG